Long non-coding RNA from Lutra lutra (Eurasian river otter), 848 nucleotides. RefSeq lists it as uncharacterized. NCBI's taxonomy places the organism in Eukaryota, Metazoa, Chordata, Mammalia, Carnivora, Mustelidae. The record is from RefSeq and is a predicted model, not a curated record. The transcript is spliced from 3 exons.
CAAUCCUAGGACCCUGAGAUCAUGAUUGAGCUGAAAGCAGAGCUAUGGAAGCAACUAGGAGAGAAACCAGGAACCCAGGAUGAGACCGCAGCAGGGGAGGGAACUCACCAAACCUGGAGUUCCUCAUUAAGGGCCCAUCUGUCCCUUACCUGGACCCUCCCCUACAGAAGGCACUGUGCCAAUCAUGUGCCCUCUGUUCUCUAGACACUCUCCAGCAGCAGCAGAGAUCUAAUUGAUUCUGCAGAACACAUGACGAAACUUCGAUGCAGAGAAUUGGAUGGCUUAUCUGAGGACAUCUAGAGACUUCAGCUCACAAGGGAGAACAGAAGGCCCUGGUACCAAAUAACAACGCAGAGGACGAAACUGAUUGUUACCUAACAAGACCUGUAGCCAGGGGAACUCGGAUGCUCAGAGAGGAUGAUGGGGUUCUCAUGGUUCAGUGCUCUGUGGUUCUCUUUUUUCCCUGUGGUUCUCUGCUUGCCGGAUGCCUGAUUCAGUUGUACUGUCUUAAAACGGGCAAUGCUCGGAGGCAUGGCUGGGUCAGGAAGAAGGGGCUUGCCAUUAGCCCUGAUUAUUUAAGCAAACUCUAAUUCUUCUUUCCCAGCACCCCAACUCUCCCCCCACCCUAUACGCUUGCCGCGUGCAGAAUGCCUGUGGGUUCCUAAGGGAAUGCCGGGCUCCCAGACAGGGGAGGCUUUCCGCCCCUCCCCCAGACCUCCCCAUGUGGGCUGGGGGGAAUGCAGUCACAUCAUUUGCAUUUAUCAGGGAGAAUAUACCGCCUUGUCUGUAGCCUUUAGUCUGACUGAAUUGCUUUUCUGCUUCAUGAGACACACAGCGCGCCAGCCCAG